GUACCAUGUUCAGACCUGGCAACCUCUAAUCUAAGAAAAUAUUUCAUGUACCCAAGGUCUUUGAUAAUAAACUUCUCAAUCAAGGCUGUCUUAACAUAUUGAAUUGCAUUCGCAUCAGUACCAGAUAUGAUUACAUUAUCCACAUAGAUCAAGAGAAUCCAGAAAUAAGUAUUAGUGGAUUGUGUAAACAAACAAUAAUCAUUUUGUGACUAAACAAUGCCUAAUGAUUUGAGAAAGGAAGUAAACUCCACAUUCCAUUGUCUACUGGCCUGUUUAAGCCCAUACAAGGACCUUUCAAAAAACAAACUUCACUAGGCUUAGCUUUAAAAUAACCUUGAGGUGGUAACAUGUAGACCUCCUUAUCCCGGUAACCAUGUAAAAAAGCAUUGUUUAUAUCCAGCUGGUAGAUAGGCCAUUUCCUAGCUGUGGCUAAGGCUAUGAACAACCUAACAGUAACCAGCUUAGGUAUAGGGAAGAACCUCUCUUUAAAACCAAUCCUUCUAUCUGAUUAUAUCCUUUGGUUACUAAACAAGCCU
This 536-nucleotide unclassified non-coding RNA is filed under the name Hevea brasiliensis (rubber tree). Lineage: Eukaryota; Viridiplantae; Streptophyta; Magnoliopsida; Malpighiales; Euphorbiaceae. The record is from RNAcentral.